This is a long non-coding RNA of Bos taurus (domestic cattle), 2187 nucleotides long. NCBI's taxonomy places the organism in Eukaryota, Metazoa, Chordata, Mammalia, Artiodactyla, Bovidae. The record is from Ensembl.
ACCAACUUAGGGAAUUUACCAGGAGUCUUAACAUCCACCCGGACUCUGGAUGGAAGAAUAGAUGCUCUUGAGAAAUUGUAAACCCAAGCCACUGUCAUAUGUCAGUGUGGAGUUUGAAUUUAUAAUAUCCAGGUGGUACAGCAUAAGAACCAAUCUGAACCAGCAAAAUCGCUAAGGUCCUAGAAAAGUCAUAUGUGAAAUGGCACGAAAGAUAAUCACUGCUGAAGAUGAGACCAGGAUGAAAACUUACAAACUACAUUAGGAACCAAAGCACCAUGAGGGUGAGUUAACAGAGAUAAUAAAUGGGAGCAUUUGUAUCUAUAAUACAAAGCUAUCAAUAAUAGAACAUUCUGGAAAGACUAUAAAAUGUGUGUGUUUAAAAUAUUUAAAGAGAUAAAAGGUUAAGAAAGGGACACAGUUUUUAGUAUUUAGAAUAAGGAUGUCUGAAAAAGUGGACUUUUUAAAAAUGAAAAAUAUAGGUCAUUGAAACCAAAAACUUAAUAAACUGGUUAGAUGAUAGAAAAGCUGCAAAUGAAGAGAAAAUUAGUGAUAUGAAAUGUGGAACUAAGGAAAUCGCCCAAAAUGAAACAUAGUUAAGUGAAGAAAAAUAUGUUGUGGAAGGGGAUUAAGAGACAUGAAAUAUAGAAUGAGAAAGUCCAACAUGGUUUUAAUAGAGAUUCUAAAAGAGAGUCUAAAGAAAAUUUAGAAAUGGGAAUGUUUAAAGGGAUCCUGGCUUUGAAAUUUGGAAAAAAGAUAAAUGAGUUCUUGGAUUAAAGGAGUAUAUUGAGUCACAUGCAAGAUAAAUAAAAACAGCUACACACGUAGACACAUGAGCAUAAUGAAGCUGCAGAAGGAACAUAGAGCAAAACAAAACACAAAAAUGUUAAAAGCUAUGUUUGUUAAAUAUUAAAAGUGUGAAAAAGUAUGAAUACAAACACGUUUCUUAUACAGCAAUGUCAGACUGAAACAAGACCUCUUAUUAGCCACCAAAUGUUUCAGAACACGGUGGAAAUAAUCUUCAAAGUGCAAAGGAAGAACAAUCAUUGGUGUAUAAAUUUAUACCCAGCUGAACUAUUAUUCAAGAGAGAUGGCAAAAUAAUGACAUUUUCAAACGAAGACAGAGUUUAUCAUCAUAAACUCUUACUGGAGGGACUACUGAAGGAUGUGCUUCAAGAAGUGAAUUAAGCCCAGACAGAAGGAGGUGCCUUGCAAGAAGCAAUAUGAGCAAAAAUAAAAUAUAUACAUAAGCCCAUUGCUAUAUCUAAAUAAUCAUCAUACAAAAUUUUUAAAGUAAUUUUAGAGGUUUAAAAAUAAAAUAAAGCUAAAAUACUAAGACACAAUAGGAAUUUAGGAAGAACAGUUAAAAUGUUCUAAAGUCUUCCUUUUUGGGGAUAAGAAGUUAGAGAUACUGGUUAACUUUAUAGUCAUUAAAGUAAGUAUUUACGUUAAAAUUUUUAAGGGUUCCUACAAGAAGAAUGGAAAUAAAGUGGAAAACUUCCAAACCAAACAAAAGAAGAUACAGUCAAAUUGGUAGAAUGCUUAAAAAGAAGCGAUCGAAAGAAAACACAAAGUAAAAUGGUAGAAAUAAUUUCAUCAGUAUCAGUAAUCAUGACGACUCUAACUGGAUGAAACUUAAAAUUUCUGAACACGCAUACGCUAGACACUAGGCAUUGUUCAGUUGCAGACUCGUGGGACAAAAAAAGCAAUGAUAACAAUGGGCUAAAGGGAACACAGAGUUCUAUCUAGUAAAAGGAGGGGCACCCCCCUUUCAGUCUGUAGCGAGAAGGUUGGGGAAGACUUCCUGAAGAUGGCGACCCUUCAGCUGCAUCCUGGAGGAUGAGUAAGAAGCAGAAGGGAUAGGAAGGGUGUGCCAGGGAAAGGUGCAAAGUCAUGGAAGUGUGAGAGAACAAGGAAUGCUCUGGUCCAACCUUCUUUUGUUAUGGAUGAGGAACCUGAACUUCAGAACAGAUAUGUUGACUCACAGAACAACCUACCUUUCACCUUACUUGUCUUUCUAGAAAAAGCCCAGUUCUUCAGAGCCCAAGAACUGCAACUGCUGAAGCUCGUGUGCUCCAGGCUCUGCAACAAGAGAAGCCACCGAAAUGAGAAGCCUGCAGAUCGCAACUAGAGAGUAGCCCCUGCUCACAGAAACUGGAGGAAAGCUCACAUAACAACGAAGACCCAGAG